GACCGGACCCCCGCGGCGUCCAUCUCCUCAACUCCCCCAGGGCCGGAAGGCAGCAAGGGUCCGGGAGCUCUGGCGGGUGCGGGGGUCCGCCUCGU
Molecule: non-coding RNA, 95 nt
Organism: Actinobacteria bacterium 69-20
Lineage: Bacteria; Bacillati; Actinomycetota; Actinomycetes
Source: Rfam